Molecule: long non-coding RNA, 312 nt
Organism: Pyrus x bretschneideri (Chinese white pear)
Lineage: Eukaryota; Viridiplantae; Streptophyta; Magnoliopsida; Rosales; Rosaceae
Exons: 3
Source: RefSeq, a predicted model, not a curated record
CUUGCUGUCCUAGAGCUUAACACACGCUGCAACUUCUUGUACAUCUUCCUUUGUGGACAUCGUCAUUCAUAAAAGUAAGGCUGAAAAGCUUCUGGGAAAUUAUCUUGUGUACUUCAGAAUAUAUUAUUAACACAAAGGAUUUAUGACGAGUAGCAGAAAAUAAUGGAGGACCUUAAAGCCAACGAGAACAAAAAGCACAACCAUGUCAGGUUUUCGGGCAAAUUAAUGUUUGCCAAAGACGCUUAUUUGCACAAGUAAAUGUGAGUAGUCCUUGGCACCUUCAAUUUUCUGCUUAGCCAUCUUUUGAGAAAA